CCUACGGGUGGCAGCAGUGGGGAAUAUUGGACAAUGGGCGAAAGCCUGAUCCAGCCAUGCCGCGUGUGUGAAGAAGGCCUUCGGGUUGUAAAGCACUUUCAGUGGGGAAGAAAGCCUUGGGGCUAAUACCCUCGAGGAAGGACAUCACCCACAGAAGAAGCACCGGCUAACUCCGUGCCAGCAGCCGCGGUAAUACGGAGGGUGCGAGCGUUAAUCGGAAUUACUGGGCGUAAAGCGCGCGUAGGCGGUCUGAUAAGCCGGUUGUGAAAGCCCCGGGCUCAACCUGGGAACGGCAUCCGGAACUGUCAGGCUAGAGUGCAGGAGAGGAAGGUAGAAUUCCCGGUGUAGCGGUGAAAUGCGUAGAGAUCGGGAGGAAUACCAGUGGCGAAGGCGGCCUUCUGGACUGACACUGACGCUGAGGUGCGAAAGCGUGGGUAGCAAGCAGGAUUAGAUACCCGAGUAGUC
Molecule: ribosomal RNA, 465 nt
Filed under: Vreelandella stevensii
Lineage: Bacteria; Pseudomonadati; Pseudomonadota; Gammaproteobacteria; Oceanospirillales; Halomonadaceae
Description: partial 16S ribosomal RNA
Rfam family: Bacterial small subunit ribosomal RNA
Source: RNAcentral